RNAcentral lists this ribosomal RNA (465 nucleotides) under uncultured bacterium. Its description in RNAcentral is "partial 16S ribosomal RNA". It matches the Rfam family "Bacterial small subunit ribosomal RNA", at positions 338 to 795 of the family's 1533-position model. The record is from RNAcentral.
CCUACGGGUGGCAGCAGUGGGGAAUAUUGCGCAAUGGGCGAAAGCCUGACGCAGCGACGCCGCGUGAGGGAUGAAGGUCUUCGGAUCGUAAACCUCUGUCAGCAGGGAAGAACGGUCACUGUGCUAAUCAGCAGUGAAUUGACGGUACCUGCAAAGGAAGCACCGGCUAACUCCGUGCCAGCAGCCGCGGUAAUACGGAGGGUGCGAGCGUUAAUCGGAAUUACUGGGCGUAAAGCGCUCGUAGGCGGUAUGUCAAGUCAAGGGUGAAAUCCCCGCGCUCAACGUGGGAACUGCCUUUGAAACUGGCAGUCUCGAGUUGGAGAGAAGUAUGCGGAAUGCGCGGUGUAGCGGUGAAAUGCAUAGAUAUCGCGCAGAACUCCAAUUGCGAAGGCAGCAUGCCGGCUCCACACUGACGCUGAGGCACGAAAGCGUGGGUAUCGAACAGGAUUAGAUACCCGUGUAGUC